Molecule: ribosomal RNA, 75 nt
Filed under: Desulfofustis sp.
Lineage: Bacteria; Pseudomonadati; Thermodesulfobacteriota; Desulfobulbia; Desulfobulbales; Desulfocapsaceae
Source: RNAcentral
AACACGGAAGUUAAGCUCUUCUGCGCCGAUGGUACUGCAUGGGCAACUGUGUGGGAGAGUAGGUCGCCGCCGAAU